This is a long non-coding RNA of Ahaetulla prasina, 2064 nucleotides long. RefSeq lists it as uncharacterized. The record is from RefSeq and is a predicted model, not a curated record. The transcript has 5 exons. Lineage: Eukaryota; Metazoa; Chordata; Lepidosauria; Squamata; Colubridae.
UGGAUCAGCCAUGGAUGCAGCAAAAUGUCUUAGUUUUUAGAUCCCUGACAUACCCAUUGCUGUUUCUGGCAUCUCUUCUAAUUGCACUGAAUCAGUGUGAAAACAUGAUGCCCAGAGCUGGAUGCAGUAUUUGAAGUGGGGUCAGAAGAUGAUGAUAACAACAGCAAUAAUAAUAUUACAUUUAUAAAGGCAGAAUGUAGUGUAAUUUGGAAAUGAUGAUGCAGGUUUAUGAGUUAGAAUCAAGAUGUGAUCUGGAUAUCCAAUAUACAGGAAUACGUCUCCUGGUCCACUAUGAUAAGGGGUCUCCAACCUUAGUAACUUAGAUUGUGGACUUCAACUCCCAGAGUUCCUCAUUCAGCAAAGCAGGAAGUCAAAGCAGGCUGUAAUCAGUAGCUGAAGAAAAACACAUGCUGUGCCCGAAAGGAGCAGUAAUUAUAGGCAUGUUUCGGCUGAAGAAAAACUGCUUUAAACAGUAAAAAACAACAACAACAACCUCUGCUGUUGGUGCGGCUCAGCAGGGGCGGGGCGGGGCCAGGGAUUUUUGCUACUGGUCCUCCGAACCAGCCGCCACCAUCGCUACCGGAUCACACGAGCCGGUCCGAACCGGGACCAUUUCACUCCUGCCUGGAGCACUGUUGGAGGAAGGUGAAGGAAGUCAACAGGACACCUGUAAAAGCCCCAUCCUUUUUCCUCUCCAUCCUGAAUAAUGCCCCUGGGUCCAUAUGGUGCCCAAAAACAUGCAGGAUGGGGAAGGUUUCAAGGGGAGGCUGAACUGUGCUACUCUCCAACAGUACAAAGCCUUGAAUUUUCUUUUACUCCUGUGUUUCAAAAGAUCAGCCAAAGAAGUCUUGAAAGGUAUCACAGGUGUUGUUUGAGUGUGAUGUUAUGCCUGCAGGCAUCAUGUCGUUGCUGCCAUCUUCCCAAUGAACCAACUUUCUUUUAACACUGAUUCAGAGGAAAGGACAAGGUAACAAUCUGUAAUGAUUGCCAAAAUUAAAAUUAAAAAUUUCCAGCUGCCCUCUCUACCAUUCCCUACCAUGUUUUCCUGAAAAUAAGACCCUGUCUUAUAUUUUUUUGAACCCCAAAAUAAGCGCUUGGCCUUAUUUUCGGGGAGGUCUUAUUAUUUUGGGGCGCGUGGAGCAAGACAGGGCUUCUCUUGCCAUCUUACCUAAUUUCCAGCUCUGUCUCCCUAACCCUAACCUGAGGAAAUGGCGGGGACUGGCUGUGCAUGCGUUUAAAUAUUUUCAGGGAGGGCUUAUUUUUGGGGAAACAGGGUAUUUCUACCACCUUAAUAUGUGAAGCUUUAUAAACCAGAAUUCUCAUUACAAAUUAUGUAGUAGAUUACUACAUAAGAGAAGGGACUUGCUUUGGAAAAGUAAUCUUCAACCAAGUCCUUUUAGAAUAACACCAUGCUUGUGAUGACACAUCAUGCACUCACAUUUUCUAUUACGGCAGGCAAUGUAUUAUAAAAGACUUGAUGGAUCAAUGUAAAUUUACUCGGGUGAAGGACACAUCAAAUCAAUUCUGCCUAAAUAUGUUGUGACUGUCAGCCUAGAUUGCAGUCAAGCUGAUACAUCCAGUUGUUGUUGUUUUUAUUAACUGUCCCAAGUAGAAUUGUUCAUGGACAUGUUUUAGAAGCUUCUCUCCACUUGUACUUCUUUAGCAAAAACAAUCCUUGUGCCACAAUGCCCAGACAACCUCUUUUUUCUGCAAUUUUCUUUAUUUUUAUUUUUAUUGUAAUUUUCUUCAAUAAGACUUGAAAUUUUGGGCUUAGACAACUUAGAACUACGCCACCUUCGGUAUGACCUAAGCGUAGCUCAUAAAAUCAUCUGCUACUAUAUCCUGCCUGUCAAUGACUACUUCAGCUUCAACCACAAUAACACAUGAGCACACAAUAGAUACAAACUUAAAGUGAACCAUUCCAAUCUUGAUUGCAGAAAAUAUGGCUUCAGCAACAGAAUGGUCAAUGCCUGGAAUGCACUGCCUGACUCUGUGGUUUCCUCCCCAAACCCCCACAACUUUAACAUUAGACUGUCUACUGUUGACUUCACCCCAUUCCUAAGA